UCAUGAUCAAACAUAGUCAUCUUAAAUAAACAAAAAAAAAAAAAACAAAAAAAAAAAACAACUUGUACGUGUAUUCAGUUUUCAGUGGAUUUGACUUACGCUACACUUUUACAAUGAUACCUUUUAAGAAACCACAUAGUUCAUUGAAGUUGGUGACACUAAAACUUCAUCAUAAACUAUAACCAAAACAUUUACAAUAAACAGAGACGGACGGAUGAACGGACGUAAAGACUUUUAAAUAUAAUGACCAUCUCUAUCGUCGAACAGGUUAACAAAAUCAAAGUCAUGAAUUGAGUAAUAUGUCAGUCUUGAGUCAAUCAACAUAAACAAAAUCUUGAGAUUAUUAGACAUAAAGUAU
This 358-nucleotide long non-coding RNA is filed under the name Mytilus galloprovincialis (Mediterranean mussel). The record is from RNAcentral. Lineage: Eukaryota; Metazoa; Mollusca; Bivalvia; Mytilida; Mytilidae.